Molecule: long non-coding RNA, 441 nt
Filed under: Numida meleagris (helmeted guineafowl)
Lineage: Eukaryota; Metazoa; Chordata; Aves; Galliformes; Numididae
Description: lncRNA (ENSNMEG00000008488.1)
Source: RNAcentral
AUCUACACGGGAGCUGGUCACUGGGGCUAACUUUGUGGAUCACCAAAAGAUAUGAAUAUCUAGAUACAUAUACCUGCUUCUCGCCAGCGACUGAAGAGUGGUCAUGCAGCUAUUCUGUGCUUUCAGAUUCUGUGAAGUGCAAGGUGAUGUGCACCUGAGAACACAACUAUGGAAAUGUGUACAGGUCCAAGGAGUCUGACUGCUUCCACUGGGCAUUGUUGCAUACAUUCGAAGAAGGGAAGAUUAAGAAUCUGGCUAGUUGGUUACUCUACCUCUUCUCUAUCAAAGCUUGCAGAAUUCUUAUAUACCUACAGUCUUGGGUGUCAGUUGAGCAAGGGAUUUUAGGACUGCAGUUCACCAAAUUAAGACUCUGUAAGUAGACAUCUACUCAUGGUGGCAGUCACCAGUUUUGCAAUAAACUUUUGAAUCUAUAGUGUCUCA